RNAcentral lists this ribosomal RNA (447 nucleotides) under uncultured bacterium. RNAcentral's name for it is "SSU rRNA". It matches the Rfam family "Bacterial small subunit ribosomal RNA", at positions 26 to 518 of the family's 1533-position model. The record is from RNAcentral.
AGGAUGAACGCUGGCGGUCUGCUUAACACAUGCAAGUCGAACGGAGUAGCAAUACUUAGUGGCGGACGGGUGAGUAACGCGUGAGAAUCUACCUUCAGGACGGAGACAACAGUUGGAAACGACUGCUAACCCCCGAUGUACCGAAAGGGCAAAUAUUUAUAGCCUGAAGAAGAGCUCGCGUCCGAUUAGCUAGUUGGAGAGGUAAAAGCUCACCAAGGCGACGAUCGGUAGCUGGUCUGAGAGGACGAUCAGCCACACUGGGACUGAGACACGGCCCAGACUCCUACGGGAGGCAGCAGUGGGAAUUUUCCGCAAUGGGCGAAAGCCUGACGGAGCAAGACCGCGUGGGGGAAGAAGGCUCUUGGGUUGUAAACCCCUUUUCUCUGGGAAGAACGCAAUGACGGUACCAGAGGAAUCAGCAUCGGCUAACUCCGUGCCAGCAGCCGC